UGGCUCAGCAGUUAAGAGCACUGGCUGUUCUUCCAGAGGACCUGGGUUCAAUUCCCAG
Molecule: non-coding RNA, 58 nt
Organism: Mesocricetus auratus (golden hamster)
Lineage: Eukaryota; Metazoa; Chordata; Mammalia; Rodentia; Cricetidae
Source: Rfam